CCUACGGGUGACAGCAGUCGAGAAUCAUUCACAAUGGGGGAAACCCUGAUGGUGCGACGCCGCGUGGGGGAAUGAAGGUCUUCGGAUUGUAAACCCCUGUCAUAUGGGAGCAAAUUAAAAAGAUAGUACCACAUGAGGAAGAGACGACUAACUCUGUGCCAGCAACCGCGGUAAUACAGAGGGCUCAAGCGUUGUUCGGAAUCACUGGGCGUAAAGCGUGCGUAGGCUGUUUCGUAAGUCGUGUGUGAAAGGCGCGGGCUCAACCCGCGGACGGCACAUGAUACUGCGAGACUAGAGUAAUGGAGGGGGAACCGGAAUUCUCGGUGUAGCAGUGAAAUGCGUAGAUAUCGAGAGGAACACUCGUGGCGAAGGCGGGUUCCUGGACAUUAACUGACGCUGAGGCACGAAGGCCAGGGGAGCGAAAGGGAUUAGAUACCCGGGUAGUC
Molecule: ribosomal RNA, 446 nt
Filed under: uncultured bacterium
Lineage: Bacteria
Description: partial 16S ribosomal RNA
Rfam family: Bacterial small subunit ribosomal RNA
Source: RNAcentral